This 618-nucleotide ribosomal RNA is filed under the name Bacillus pumilus. RNAcentral's name for it is "bacterial SSU rRNA". It matches the Rfam family "Bacterial small subunit ribosomal RNA", at positions 547 to 1165 of the family's 1533-position model. The record is from RNAcentral. Lineage: Bacteria; Bacillati; Bacillota; Bacilli; Caryophanales; Bacillaceae.
GGAAUUAUUGGGCGUAGCGGGCUCGCAGGCGGUUUCUUAAGUCUGAUGUGAAAGCCCCCGGCUCAACCGGGGAGGGUCAUUGGAAACUGGGAAACUUGAGUGCAGAAGAGGAGAGUGGAAUUCCACGUGUAGCGGUGAAAUGCGUAGAGAUGUGGAGGAACACCAGUGGCGAAGGCGACUCUCUGGUCUGUAACUGACGCUGAGGAGCGAAAGCGUGGGGAGCGAACAGGAUUAGAUACCCUGGUAGUCCACGCCGUAAACGAUGAGUGCUAAGUGUUAGGGGGUUUCCGCCCCUUAGUGCUGCAGCUAACGCAUUAAGCACUCCGCCUGGGGAGUACGGUCGCAAGACUGAAACUCAAAGGAAUUGACGGGGGCCCGCACAAGCGGUGGAGCAUGUGGUUUAAUUCGAAGCAACGCGAAGAACCUUACCAGGUCUUGACAUCCUCUGACGGGCCGAGAGAUAGGGCUUUCCCUUCGGGCACAGAGUGACAGGUGGUGCAUGGUUGUCGUCAGCUCGUGUCGUGAGAUGUUGGGUUAAGUCCCGCAACGAUCGCAACCCUUGAUCUUAGUUGCCAGCAUUCAAUUGGGCACUCUAAGGUGACUGCCGGUGACAAACCG